UGCUGCCCACUGACCUCAGCCGCUUGGUUUGGGGGGCAGAGUUUAUUUAGGAGUGACAAUCUGAGCACGCCCACGUUAUGUGAUGUUGCACACAGGGUCUAUGCUUGUACUUGAUCCUCAGGUUACCAGGUUCCUCUUAAGUGCAUGCAGUUUAACAUGAACUUACGUGCUUUGGACUCGCAGAGUAGAAACUUCCUAUUGGAUUACCAUUUUUCUUAUUAAAUACUUUAAAGCACUCUCUGUGACUUAUGCUACUUGGAAGUUACGUGUAUGUGCUAAGAGUACCUUUACAUAAUGCACUGGAUAUUUUCUUUUACGUUGCCAAGCUUGCUUCUGAGUCCUAAGCUCUCUUGAGGCAGCGAAGGCUUAGUAAAUCCUGGAAAUAAUACUGAUUGAAUGUAGCUUUAGGUGACAGAAAAAAACAGCCAGAGGUUGCUCAGGGCCUUCCCCUGCUUUGGUAACCUGGAUUACAGUCGGUGUUGGGUGCCUGAACCAAUCUUAAAGGGCAUCCCAUGGCAAAACAUUUGCCAUGAUGAGAAGAAGUUCAUAAAAUGGCAAUGAUCUUUAUUUGUAUAGCACUUUUCACCCAGGAGAAAAACAUAGUGCUUCACAAAAUGAUUUUUACAAGCUGCACCAGCACUGAAAAACAAGCUCCUCCAGGAUGAAAUACACCAGCUGCUAAGCAGCAGCACUGCUGCAUGAAUAAAAUAAUAAAGCUAUUUGGAGAGGAGUUAAUGACUGCCACUGAGCAGGUCUGAUCGACAAGCAGUGGUAGGUUUUACUGAAGGUGAUGGGAGUUUGAACUGUUCUGUUUCCAGGAGAACAGAGGAUGCGGUUCAAUAUCCCUUUGCAGAGAGGGAUCUGGUAGCAACAAGCUCUCCCUUGGUAGCAAGAGGCUUCUUGGAUGUUCAGAAUGCAGUUGGAAGACCAGGUGAAAGAAAGAAAGGGGGAGCAGCAUGGGACUGGCACUCUCAGGGACAAGUCAUCCCCCAUUCCUGGGGAGUGGAAAGAUUCUUCAGUGCAGGGAAGAGUGUGCUCCUGACCAGACUUCCAAGAGUAUCUGACCCGUUUCCCAGAGGUCCAGGAGGAGCCCUGCACCAUCUCUCUCUCACCUCACCCAGCAGACUAUGAAAUCGUGAGGCUGUGGAAGUGUGUGUACAGUGGGAUCAGAUCUGGAGCGCAGCCAGCCACCAACACAAAAAUGAGAGGCAAUAUCUGAACCUAUACUUCACAAAAAUAUUUCUGGUCUUGCAAAACACAUGGAGGCACUUACUAUUUUAAAUCUCUGCCUACAGCAAGAGUGUAAGAAAUACAAAUGAAGAUAACAGCUACCACAGACAGCAGCUCUGAUAGGCUCCUUCUGUUCUCAGUAGUAUCCAGAUUGUUUUCUUCAUGCACCAAUCCCAGAAUUCCCAGAAUUCCUCUUUUGGAGAAUCAAAGACGACUUUAGUGGAUUGACUGGAGAGGUGCCUGCCUAAAAUGAACUGGGGUGGAUGGUAGAACCAGAGCAGCCACAGAAGCAUGGAUAUCCCAGAUGAGAAGAUGCCCGUGCCUGUCCCCGUUCAAGUGGUCUGAGGCAUUUCUGUUGUGUAGGUGGGUGUCCAUGUGUAAAUUAAAGACCCAAACCAUGCACUGAAAGGCUUACAGCCCACUGAAACAUGACUAUUAAUCAGAUUAAAGUUAAGCAUAGGAGACACUGAAUAAGUAGUGAGACCCGUGACGUUAGCUGUGGAUACAAGAAAGGGGAAGUGUGAGUAUCAGCUGAUGAUAAAAACAGAAUUAUCAGGACCUGUUGUCUGCAGUCAUUUGGAAGCUCUAAAUUGUGUUCAUGGAUGAAAAGCAGUGUGAAAAAUUCCCUCUUGUUCAUUACUCACAGGGGAGGAAGUUUUGCAAAGAUUGCCAAAACCUACAUUAGAAAACUUGAUGUAC
RNAcentral lists this long non-coding RNA (1929 nucleotides) under Gallus gallus (chicken). RNAcentral's name for it is "lncRNA (ENSGALG00010009888.1)". The record is from RNAcentral. Lineage: Eukaryota; Metazoa; Chordata; Aves; Galliformes; Phasianidae.